AGGGUUUGAUUCUGGCUCAGGAUGAACGCUGGCGGCGUGCCUAACACAUGCAAGUCGAACGGAGUUACUUUGGUGAAGUUUUCGGAUGGAUCUGAUUUAACUUAGUGGCGGACGGGUGAGUAAUGCGUGAGCAACCUGCCCUUCAGAGGGGGACAACAGUUGGAAACGACUGCUAAUACCGCAUAAUGUAUUCGGAAGGCAUCUUCUGAAUACCAAAGGAGAAAUCCGCUGAGGGAUGGGCUCACGUCUGAUUAGUUAGUUGGUGAGGUAACGGCUCACCAAGACUGCGAUCAGUAGCCGGACUGAGAGGUUGAACGGCCACAUUGGGACUGAGAUACGGCCCAG
This 345-nucleotide ribosomal RNA is filed under the name uncultured bacterium. RNAcentral's name for it is "bacterial SSU rRNA". It matches the Rfam family "Bacterial small subunit ribosomal RNA", at positions 8 to 334 of the family's 1533-position model. The record is from RNAcentral.